Molecule: ribosomal RNA, 495 nt
Filed under: uncultured bacterium
Lineage: Bacteria
Description: partial 16S ribosomal RNA
Rfam family: Bacterial small subunit ribosomal RNA
Source: RNAcentral
GACGAACGCUGGCGGCGUGCCUAAUACAUGCAAGUAGAACGCUGAAGGAGGAGCUUGCUUCUCUGGAUGAGUUGCGAACGGGUGAGUAACGCGUAGGUAACCUGCCCGGUAGCGGGGGAUAACUAUUGGAAACGAUAGCUAAUACCGCAUAAUAGCAGUUGUUGCAUGACAACUGUUUGAAAGGUGCAAUUGCACCACUACCAGAUGGACCUGCGUUGUAUUAGCCAGUUGGUGGGGUAACGGCUCACCAAGGCGACGAUACAUAGCCGACCUGAGAGGGUGAUCGGCCACACUGGGACUGAGACACGGCCCAGACUCCUACGGGAGGCAGCAGUAGGGAAUCUUCGGCAAUGGACGGAAGUCUGACCGAGCAACGCCGCGUGAGUGAAGAAGGUUUUCGGAUCGUAAAGCUCUGUUGUAAGAGAAGAACGAGUGUGAGAGUGGAAAGUUCACACUGUGACGGUAUCUUACCAGAAAGGGACGGCUAACUACGUG